GGCAGAAUGGUAUAGUGUUGGAUUAGGAUUCUUAAGACCAGGGUUCGAUCCCCUGUUCAGCCA
Molecule: transfer RNA, 63 nt
Filed under: Anolis carolinensis (green anole)
Lineage: Eukaryota; Metazoa; Chordata; Lepidosauria; Squamata; Anolidae
Rfam family: tRNA
About the family: Transfer RNA (tRNA) molecules are approximately 80 nucleotides in length.
Source: Rfam by way of RNAcentral